AUUGAACGCUGGCGGCAUGCCUUACACAUGCAAGUCGAACGGCAGCACGGGAGCAAUCCUGGUGGCGAGUGGCGAACGGGUGAGUAAAGUAUCGGAACGUGCCCAGCCGUGGGGGAUAACGUAGCGAAAGUUACGCUAAUACCGCAUACGAUCUAUGGAUGAAAGCGGGGGAUCGCAAGACCUCGCGGGAUUGGAGCGGCCGAUAUCAGGUUAGGUAGUUGGUGGGGUAAAGGCUCACCAAGCCGACGAUCUGUAGCUGGUCUGAGAGGACAACCAGCAGCACCGGAGAUGGGAGACGGCCCAGAUGCCUACGGGGGGCAGCAGUGGGGGAGUGUGGACAAGGGGCGAAAGCCUGAACCAGGCAUGCCGCGUUCAGGAUGAAGGCCUUAGGGUUGUAAACUACUUUUGUCCGGAACGAAAAGGUUUGGGGUAAUAAGCUGAGCUCAUGACGGUACCGUAAGAAUAAGCACCGGCUAACUACGUGCCAGCCGCCGCCGUAA
Molecule: ribosomal RNA, 500 nt
Filed under: uncultured bacterium
Lineage: Bacteria
Description: partial 16S ribosomal RNA
Rfam family: Bacterial small subunit ribosomal RNA
Source: RNAcentral